CUGAGAAACGAAAUACACCGCCUGGUGGAUGGCUAGGCACAAGGGGCGAGGAAGGGCGUGGCAAGCUGCGAAAAGCCUCGGGUAGGCGCAUGCAGCCUUCGAUCCGAGGAUUCCCGAAUAGGUUAACCUGCUAGGUUAAAGCCUAGCAAGCGUGCCGUUAGGUGCGCCUGCGAACUCCCUGAAAGGAAACAUCUGAGUAAGGGGAGGAAAAGAAAUCAAAUCGAGAUGCCCUUAGUAGUAGAGAGCGAAAAGGGCAUAGCCCAAACUGAACUCUGUACAGCAAUGUAUGGGGGAUGUGGUGUUUGCCGUAGGAGUAUAAUAGGGUCUGUCGCCAGCCGAAGUGGUCUGGAAAGGCCCGCCAAAGUGGGUGAUAGCCCCGUAGGUAAAAGUGAUGGGUCCUAUUUCUUAUUGGCAGAGUACCCGGCCUUGACAAUGGUUGGGGAAGGUGGGGGAAAGCGGUCUCCAAGGCUAAAUACUUCUUGUGACCGAUAGCGUACAAGUACCGCGAGGGAAAGCUGAAAAGCACCCCGGGAGGGGGAUGAAAAGUGCCUGAAAUCAGGCGGUUAAAAUCGUGCAGUGCUCAGAAGGAUUCUUCUCGAUCCGUUGUAGUCGCAAGACUACAGUGGGUUUGCAGGAUUCCAGGGUAUUGCGGUCCGUCUAGAAACACGGGCCAGGGAGAUUACCUUAAUGGCAAGUCUAAGGGUUAAAAGCCCGUAGGCGAAGGGAAACCGAUAUUUCGCAGCUCCGCAAGGAGUGAGGAAAAGGGUGUCAAUAGCGCCCUUUAGCCAUUGGGGCAAGACUAGAAACCGAGUGAUCUUGCCCAGGACAGGGCGAAGCCGGGGGAAACCCUGGUGGAGGCCCGCAAGGGUCCUGACGUGCAAUUCGGUCCCCUGAACUUGGGCAAGGGGCCAAAAACCUAUCUAACUCGGUGAUAGCUAGUUCCCGCCGAAGCUGGUCCUAGCCAGGCCUGGGCAGAUGUUGUUAGCGUGGUAGAGCACCGAUAGGGAGGCAAGGGGCCGAAAGGUCCCACCUUUCUUUCGAACUCCGAACAUGCUAAUGCAAUAGAAGCCUGGAGACGGGUUUAUGGGGGUAAGCCCCAUAACCAAGAGGGGUUUAACCCAGACCAGUGUUUAGGUCCCAAAGUGCAGGCUAAGUGUCAAGCCGAAGGGCGUCUUUUCGCGAAGACAGCAGGAGGGUAGGCUCAGAAGCAGCCACCCCCCAAGGAGUGCGUAACAGCUCACCUGCCGAGCGAUGAGGCCCCGAAAAUGGACGGGGCUCAAGCCUGUCGCCGAUACACUGGGUCACGCACAAAAUGCGUGGACGGUAGGCGGGCGUAGAGGCCGCGUAGAAGCAGGGUCGUGAGAUCCUGUGGAGUGGUUUCUAGUGCAGAUCCUGGUGGUAGUAACAGCAUAGCUGGGUGGGAAUCCCGGUCGCCGAAAGACCAAGGUUUUCUUGGCAACGCGUCGUCGGCCAAGAGUUAGCCGGUCCUAAGGUUCAUCCCGCAAGGGAUAGGACCGAAAGGGAAACCGGUCAAUAAUCCGGUGCCUUCAGCCCUGACCGCAAGGUCAUGCCAAUCAUUUUUGCCUCCAGAUAGGGCAAGCGGGGUAGUCGCUCCGUCUAACUUUAUGAGCAUGGGGGAGUGUCAUAAUGACGUGAACUUAUGCGAAUGAGGAAUGGCCCAUCUAUGGUGGGUUUGCUCAAUUCCGGGGGACAUUGAAAGAGAUGUUUGGCUGCGGGUUGGAGACCGUACCAAGAACCGACACCGGUGGUCUGGGUGAGGAGCCUAAGGCGUGUCGGGUAUACCGUAGGCGAGGGAACUCGGCAAAAUAGCCCCGUAACUUCGGGAGAAGGGGUGCCUGCAGUCCUAGCGAAGAGCUGGGAUCGCAGGUCGCAGUGACAAGGGGGUCCCGACUGUUUAAUAAAAACAUAGGUGGCCGCUAGUCCGUAAGGAUUUGUACGGCCGCUGAAUCCUGGCCAGUGGCGGUACCUAAAACCCGGGUUCAACCGGGCUAAGGGCCGCUAAACGCCGGGGGUAACUCUGACCCUCUUAAGGUAGCCAAAUGCCUUGUCGGGUAAGUUCCGACGUGCAUGAAUGGAACAACGAGGGCCCCGCUGUCCCCGCCUGCAACCCGGUGAACCCACUUAAGGUGGACGAACAGUCCACCUACUUCCAUCGGGGAGAGAAGACCCCGUGGAGCUUUACUGCAGCUUGCAGCUGCGGUGUGGGUGCGGCUACAGAGAGUAGCUGGGAGCCUUCGAAGUUGGGCCUUCGGGUCCAGCAGAGGCGCAAGUGUAACACCAGCUAGCCGUGCCUACGUCGCUAACCAGGAUAGUACUUGGGACAACUGCAGGUGGGCAGUUCGGCUGGGGCGGCACCCCCUCGAAAAGAUAUCGAGGGGGCCCUAAGGUCGGCUCAGGUGGGUCAGGAACCCACCGCAGAGGGCAAGGCCAAAAGCCGGCCUGACUGGAUCCCUAAACGCGUCGGAUCCAGGGGGGAAACCCGGGCCUAGCGAACCACCAUGUCCCCUCCGUUGGGGGCUGGUGACGACAGAAAAGUUACCCCAGGGAUAACAGGCUCGUCGCGGGCGAGAGCUCCUAUCGACCCCGCGGUUUGGUACCUCGAUGUCGGCUCUUCCCAUCCUGGCCCUGCAGUCGGGGCCAAGGGUGGGGCUGCUCGCCCAUUAAAGGGGAACGUGAGCUGGGUUUAGACCGUCGCGAGACAGGUCGGACUCUACCUGAUGGAAGUGCGCGUUGACUGAGGGGAACUUGCCCUUAGUACGAGAGGAACAGGGCAAGGCGGCCUCCGGUGUACCGGUCCUCCGACAGGGGGAGCCGGGUAGCUGAGCCACUGGGGAUAACCCCUGAAAGCAUCUAAGGGGGAAGCCCCUCCCAAAAAUAGUCAGCGUUCCUGAACUUUUCCUGGCCGCAAGGUCGGGGAAAGAGCAGGAGUAGGGCUGCUGUAAAAUACGGCGUUGAUAGGACGAGGGUGUACGCGAGAAGACCUUUCGGGGUCGACUCGUUCAGCCCAUCGUUACUAAUCGCCCGAACCGUUUCUUGG
Molecule: ribosomal RNA, 3058 nt
Filed under: Nitrososphaerota archaeon
Lineage: Archaea; Thermoproteati; Nitrososphaerota
Description: Thaumarchaeota archaeon 23S ribosomal RNA
Rfam family: Archaeal large subunit ribosomal RNA
Source: RNAcentral